This 86-nucleotide non-coding RNA is filed under the name Paenalicyclobacillus ferrooxydans. RNAcentral's name for it is "Alicyclobacillus ferrooxydans c-di-GMP sequence". It matches the Rfam family "c-di-GMP-I riboswitch aptamer". Rfam says of the family: GEMM was predicted in a large-scale screen for bacterial structured RNA regulatory elements. Genes associated with GEMM are involved in a diverse array of functions, including chemotaxis regulation, signal transduction, secretion and chitin. Lineage: Bacteria; Bacillati; Bacillota; Bacilli; Caryophanales; Alicyclobacillaceae. The record is from Rfam by way of RNAcentral.
GAAGAAUACGGGCACAGUACGAGGAAACUCUACGUCGCAAAGCCACGGAUCUACGGGCACAAGCCUAUGACGGCCUGGUUGCUAUC